Molecule: RNase P RNA, 387 nt
Filed under: Rhodobacter sp.
Lineage: Bacteria; Pseudomonadati; Pseudomonadota; Alphaproteobacteria; Rhodobacterales
Description: RNase P RNA component class A
Rfam family: Bacterial RNase P class A
About the family: Ribonuclease P (RNase P) is a ubiquitous endoribonuclease, found in archaea, bacteria and eukarya as well as chloroplasts and mitochondria. Its best characterised activity is the generation of mature 5'-ends of tRNAs by cleaving the 5'-leader elements of precursor-tRNAs.
Source: RNAcentral
ACGGAUGGCUGGACGGUCGCUGAUGGUUGAUGAAGCCGCCAUCGGAGGAAAGUCCGGACUCCACAAAGCAACGGUGCCGGGUAACGCCCGGCCGGGGCAAUCCGAGGGAAAGCGCCACAGAGAACAGACCGCCCGGAAAUUCCGGGCAAGGGUGAAACGGUGGGGUAAGAGCCCACCGCGGUCCGGGCAACCGGACCGGCAUGGCAAGCCCCACCGGGAGCAAUGCCGAAUAGGGAUCCCGCGCGGCGUGUCCGCGGAGAGGCUUUGGCUCCGGGGAUCCGGGUAGGCAGCAACAGGCGUCUGGAGACAGGCGUCGAAGAUGAAUGGCCGUCCAACGGCGGUGACCGCCGCCGGGGACAGAAUCCGGCUUACAGGCCGUCCGUGCGU